UAGAGUUUGAUCCUGGCUCAGGACGAACGCUGGCGGCGUGCCUAAUACAUGCAAGUCGAGCGAACUUACGGGAGCUUGCUCCCAAAAGUUAGCGGCGGACGGGUGAGUAACACGUGGGCAACCUGCCUGUAAGACUGGGAUAACUUCGGGAAACCGGAGCUAAUACCGGAUAAUUCUUUUCUGCUCAUGCAGGAAAGCUGAAAGAUGGUUUCGGCUAUCACUUACAGAUGGGCCCGCGGCGCAUUAGCUAGUUGGUGAGGUAACGGCUCACCAAGGCAACGAUGCGUAGCCGACCUGAGAGGGUGAUCGGCCACACUGGGACUGAGACACGGCCCAGACUCCUACGGGAGGCAGCAGUAGGGAAUCUUCCGCAAUGGACGAAAGUCUGACGGAGCAACGCCGCGUGAGUGAUGAAGGUUUUCGGAUCGUAAAACUCUGUUGUUAGGGAAGAACAGGUACCGGAGUAACUGCCGGUACCUUGACGGUACCUAACCAGAAAGCCACGGCUAACUACGUGCCAGCAGCCGCGGUAAUACGUAGGUGGCAAGCGUUGUCCGGAAUUAUUGGGCGUAAAGCGCGCGCAGGCGGUUCCUUAAGUCUGAUGUGAAAGCCCACGGCUCAACCGUGGAGGGUCAUUGGAAACUGGGGAACUUGAGUGCAGAAGAGGAGAGUGGAAUUCCACGUGUAGCGGUGAAAUGCGUANAGAUGUGGAGGAACCCAGUGGGCGAAGCGACUCUCUGGUCUGUAACUGACGCUGAGGCGCGAAAGCGUGGGGAGCGAACAGGAUUAGAUACCCUGGUAGCCACGCCGUAAACGAUGAGUGCUAAGGGUUAGAGGGUUUCCGCCC
Molecule: ribosomal RNA, 847 nt
Filed under: uncultured Caryophanales bacterium
Lineage: Bacteria; Bacillati; Bacillota; Bacilli; Caryophanales
Description: bacterial SSU rRNA
Rfam family: Bacterial small subunit ribosomal RNA
Source: RNAcentral